AAAUUGAAGAGUUUGAUCAUGGCUCAGAUUGAACGCUGGCGGCAGGCCUAACACAUGCAAGUCGAGCGGAAACGAGUUGUCUGAACCUUCGGGGAACGAUAACGGCGUCGAGCGGCGGACGGGUGAGUAAUGCCUAGGAAAUUGCCCUGAUGUGGGGGAUAACCAUUGGAAACGAUGGCUAAUACCGCAUGAUGCCUACGGGCCAAAGAG
RNAcentral lists this ribosomal RNA (210 nucleotides) under Vibrio parahaemolyticus. RNAcentral describes it as "partial 16S ribosomal RNA". It matches the Rfam family "Bacterial small subunit ribosomal RNA", at positions 1 to 208 of the family's 1533-position model. Lineage: Bacteria; Pseudomonadati; Pseudomonadota; Gammaproteobacteria; Vibrionales; Vibrionaceae. The record is from RNAcentral.